AUGCUUGUUUUGGCAGCACAUUUCCUAAAAUUGGAACCACACAGAGAAGAUUAGCAAGGCCCCUGUGCAAGGAUGACAUGGAGACCCUGCAAGUGAUCCAGAAGUCU
This is a small nuclear RNA of Mastomys coucha (southern multimammate mouse), 107 nucleotides long. The record is from RefSeq and is a predicted model, not a curated record. Lineage: Eukaryota; Metazoa; Chordata; Mammalia; Rodentia; Muridae.